UUAAAUCCGAAGAAAAGGGAUAGUAAUCAUAAAGCAAUGUUAAAGAGAGCUGAAGAUGGUGAGAUUUCAGUACGGUAGUUUGUGAUGAAUGGGCCUUUGAGGAGCGAGAUGAAAUCAAUUUGAGAGUAGUUAAGUCGUGUGUCGCACGUUAUAGCGAAUAGGAUAUGUUUGUAUCUGAAUUGAGAGGCAUUUUUAUGCAAUCUAGGUGGCAACGCGGAUAAUCUCCGUCCUAUUA
RNAcentral lists this non-coding RNA (235 nucleotides) under Clostridium saccharoperbutylacetonicum. RNAcentral's name for it is "T-box sequence". It matches the Rfam family "T-box leader". Rfam says of the family: Uncharged tRNA acts as the effector for transcription antitermination of genes in the T-box leader family. T-boxes are found upstream of many aminoacyl-tRNA synthetase genes and some amino acid biosynthetic genes usually in Gram-positive bacteria. The record is from RNAcentral. Lineage: Bacteria; Bacillati; Bacillota; Clostridia; Eubacteriales; Clostridiaceae.